AUUGAACGCUGGCGGCGUGCCUAACACAUGCAAGUCGAGCGGUAACAGGUGUAGCAAUACAUGCUGACGAGCGGCGAACGGGUGAGUAAUGCUUCGGAAUCUACCCAAUGGUGGGGAAUAACCAGCCGAAAGGUUGGCUAAUACCGCAUACGUCCCACGGGAGAAAGCAGGGGAUCGCAAGACCUUGCGCCAAUGGAUGAGCCGAAGUCGGAUUAGCUAGUUGGAGGGUAACGGCCUACCAAGGCGACGAUCCGUAGCUGGUCUGAGAGGACGACCAGCCACACUGGGACUGAGACACGGCCCAGACUCCUACGGGAGGCAGCAGUGGGGAAUAUUGGACAAUGGGGGAAACCCUGAUCCAGCGACGCCGCGUGUGUGAAGAAGGCCUGCGGGUUGUAAAGCACUUUUAGUGGGAUGAAAUGUUCAGGGUUAACACCUCUGGNUUUUGACCUAACCCACAGAAAAAGCACCGGCUAACUCUGUGCCAGCCGCCG
This 494-nucleotide ribosomal RNA is filed under the name uncultured bacterium. RNAcentral describes it as "bacterial SSU rRNA". It matches the Rfam family "Bacterial small subunit ribosomal RNA", at positions 30 to 517 of the family's 1533-position model. The record is from RNAcentral.